Molecule: long non-coding RNA, 450 nt
Organism: Alnus glutinosa
Lineage: Eukaryota; Viridiplantae; Streptophyta; Magnoliopsida; Fagales; Betulaceae
Exons: 3
Source: RefSeq, a predicted model, not a curated record
CGAAGAUCCAACCAUCGAAACUCAAAUCCGAUUUCAGAAACGUGAUCUACAAAACCCGAUCUACGUUUCUACCGAUUGGUUUGAAGAUUUGUUGUGAGGAGCUUGCUAAACACUCUCCAAGUGUUGGAUUUACAUUUGGUGGAAUUUUUGAUACGGCAACCCCCGCAACUGUGCAGAUGUUUAUACUUUGGUUGCAGGUUUUACGGAUAUAGAUAUUGACAAGUCCACCUAGCAUAUGGGAUGCUAUGAUUGGAGCAUAUCGCGACAGUCAUAAGUCACGGACUCAUGGGUAGUCCGUAUUUUAGGGUAUUUUAUUUAUGGCUCGUGUCCUACGUGGCACAUGUAUUUGUUGAGCCUGUAUUUUGAUACGUAAUUAGUGUAAUGUGUUUUGUAAGCCUUAAAUAGAUAGACUUGUAAAUGGCUUUUGUUGUUGAUAAUAGUUAUGUAUUA